Molecule: long non-coding RNA, 7580 nt
Filed under: Equus caballus (horse)
Lineage: Eukaryota; Metazoa; Chordata; Mammalia; Perissodactyla; Equidae
Description: lncRNA (ENSECAG00000049464.1)
Source: RNAcentral
UUAGUUAAAGGAUGCAAAGUUUCAGUGAUACAAUAUAAAUAAAUGCUAGAGACCAACUUACAGCAUAAUACCUAUAAUUAAUGCUACUAUAUUGCAUUCUUAAAAAGUUGCUUAGAAAGUAGAUCUUAUGUUAAAUGUUCUUAUCACACACACAAAAUAAACAAGAGGGCGGGAUGAAACUUUUGGAGGUGAUGAAUAGGUUUAUGGCAUAGACUGUAUACUUAUCUCCAAACUCAUCAAGUGGCACACAUUAAUUAUGUACGGCUUUUUGUAUGUAAAUAAAUACAUAAAUAAAUGGCACCGUCAGAUAGGUUUUUGGUGAAGCCUCUCUUCCUAGCUUGUAGGUGGCCACCUUCUCCCUGAGUCCUCACACGGCCUCUUCUCUGUGUGCACAUGAAGAGAGAUCUCUGAUCUCUCCUCCUCUUCUAAUAAGGACACUAGUCCUAUUGGAUUAGUUCCUCACCUUUAUGACUUCAUGCAACUUUAAUUACCUUCCGAAAGACCCUAUCUCCAAAUACAGUCACAAUGGGGAUUAGGGCUUCAAUGUAAUGAAUUUUGGGGAGAAACAAUUCAGUCCAUAACAAAGGGUGAGAAGAAAAGUACUUUCAUUUUAGUUGCUUGAACUAUAAUGGAUUUGUGCGAUCCUACAGAGGAACAAUCUGAGAUUUUGACGUACAUUAUUUGGCCAAGGUAUUGCUUGACUUGUAGUAUAUUUCAGUGCAUGUUAUGGCACAAAUUAUGCAUUUUAAUGGGAUAUUUUAUUGAGCUCCUCUUGUUGAUUUGCACAAUGGGCACAAACAGGCUGAUAAUUUAAAUAGGGAUUAGUCUUUUUUUUAACAUAAUGGGUUGGCUAUGUAACAUGAAAUGUGAAUCAUAUGUAGCUCUUCUUUUCAGGAGUUUUCCAAAUUCCCAUAAGUUUUAUGCUUAUGCUAGCAUUGUACCAUGACAUUCACAAAUUUACCAUGAGAUAAGUUUAAUUCCAUGAUGUCCAAGUAGAAAGCAUUAAAAAAAGAUGAAAAAUAAAUUGUGAAAAAAUAUUUUUCUUUUUCUUCCUUCUCAUCAUGUCUUUCUUUUUCUCUGUCUACUCUCUCCUCACCUGUUUUCUUUAGGAGAGAAUCAUGAGUGAGAGAUGAUCCCCUUAAUUCAUUUUAUUGCCUAUUUCCAUAGCAUGACUAUUUGGGAGGUACUUAAGGGUGGUUUCUAGGCAGUGACAGAAAUGGAAAUUAUUUAUCCUAGGAACCCUGCGUGUAUUCUUGUUAAUUCAUUUGCACACUGUUAAAUAAAUAACAUAUAGGUGGGACCAGCAGAUUUGGAAAUUCCUCACCAUCCACACUCCAUUUUUAUACUCUAUUUUUAGGGUGAAAAUUGUUUUUGUUUACCUAAGUUACAAAGCUUCUUUUUUGUUAUGCAAAUAGAAAAUUAGUUGGGCAGAAUCAUGAAUGAAUUAAGUUAUUUCCUUGCUUUGUAUCUUUUCAGGAAUCUGAGGCCUACAUGGGUGACAAUUUUCAAUGGCUGAAUAAUUUAAUAAAAAGUGAAAAACAUUACAUAAAUAUGCCUAUGAUUAUAUGUGCACAGGAUAAAAUCCAAUAUUUAGGAUAAGCCAAAUUGAUAUAAAGUUAGAGAGGAGAUUGCCUAAACAUUGAGAGGCUGGUAGUGCAAUUGAUUGUAGAUUGGAGUUUUUGAAAACCUUCACACGGACUCUGAUAAGUGAUUACUCUACUGUAAAUAUGACAAUGUGGGACAAACACAAAAGCAUAAGGACAUGUUGAUUGUCAAAUCGAACUUAAGAACCCAUAUAAAUAUUAUGGAGUAUAAGGAAAUUGUUAUAUGCAGGUUCAAGUGGAAUAUAUAUAAAUUUGGUUUUGAGAGUGAUUUGGCUGGGAUGGGGUAGGGGUGUUGUUUACUAGGUUUGAAAUUUUUUAGGAACUUGAAGAAAGUAAAAGUUCAUGUCCUACGAGAGCUAAUCCUUUUAUCCAUCUGAAUAAAUGAGCAUUUUUUUAACUGGGCAAUACUGUAUAUUCCAGUUGCAGACUAAAUGAUUGCUUCAUUUGAAGCCUCCUGACUGCCAUGGAACCAUCUGCUAUGUGCUCCUGUGAAGGAAUAGGUGAGACUCCAGCUAACACUAAAGUCUUCAGCUAGUCUAAGUUGUUUCUUAUGUACCACUUCAUAUCACACCUGGGUACAGAGGCGGAAUUAACACUAAAGUCCGAAUCUCUUCCACCCAUCUUUAAGCCUGUUUUUUUCUGUCUUUUGACUUACAUAAAGGUGUUCAUUUUUAGGGAAAUUGGUGGAAUGGAAAAAAAAAGCAGUUAUAGCUGAGGAAAUCUAAACUCUAAAGUGGAAAAAAUUUUAUUUCAUUCACACUUAGAGGUUUUCCCCUACUUACUGCUUUGAAUCAAGGGGAAAAAGGUUUGUAUAUGUUUUUCCCCUGUGAGUUCUUUUGAGCAAUGUUCGUAUGUUAUGUGAAAUGAUUAUGCUAAAUGUCUGUGAGAACUGGCGUCUUGGUGUGGAUAUAUAGUGAGUUUAUGGGACCCAAAAGAGUAUAACAGUAGGAGGAUGGGAAAGGCAAGGGAUUUUUAAAAAAUGAAGAGCUAGUGUGAGAUAGGCAAGUAGGGGUUUAAAUGAGAAAUUAGGUGAUUUGAACAGAUUGUGUAUAUAUUUUCCUCUCUGAGACCCCUAAGAUCUCUUCUCAUACACUGCAUGGGGAAAAAUAAUCUUUGCUUUUUUUUUUUUUUUUUAGCUUCUUAACUAUGCACUUUCAUCAUUGCUGUACAUUCUUCUAAGCUUGGCUCAAAGAAGAAGGGGUAAUAUAAUACAGGAGCUCAACAUGGUGGCUGCAAACUUGUUUUGGAUCUAGCUCUGGCCAGGAAAGACACAAAGUAGAUCAUUAUUAAUGCAUGCUAUUACUGCUAAACUGUGCAUAUUAGUAUUGUUAAAAAGAUUCGUAUAAUGCCUAGCACAUCAUCUUUCCUCUUUUCAUAAAUCAUGCUAAAAACAGAAACAGCAUCUUUUAGAACUGAAGACUGUCCGGACAUGUGCCUGUGGUACAAAAUGCAGACUAGUGUCGUCCAGAGGCUUCCUCUGUCUGGUUGGUCUUUACUUGAGUGCUGGUAGUGUCUGAUUCAAUUAGUAAUCAGAGAAAUGGUCAUUGCUAUUUUGUGACUUUGAGAGCCUUGAUUGUGAAUUAUAUUUACAGAUUGAAAUUCUCUCUCCAAAAUAGGGCCCUUAGUAUUCAAGGACCUGCGAAGUCUUGCAAUCUGUGAUAAAAUCGAGUUUUCUCCAUAUAAUACAUCAGACAUCAUUGUAUUUGUCAAGAGUUUGGUCAAUAGAGCCAGGAAAAGUCCAUGUGUAUGAGUAAUGAAUUUAGCCACAUUUUGUUUGUGAGAAUAAUUUUGUUAGACACCCUCCCCCUGCCCUAUCCCAACUGAGAUACCUAAUAGCUAACAUAUAUAAUUUCAAAAUGGAAAUAUCUCAGAUUUUGGAGUCUGAAACUACCAGUCCAUAAACACUGAGGCUUUAUUACUGAUGGCAUUGUGUUAUAUCUGAUGGGGCACCCAAAAAGAUAAGGCAUGGUCUUAGGCCUGAAGGAAUCCAUAGUCUUCAGGAAGUCAGGCUCUAUAUGGAUUUAAAACAUAACAUUUUAUAAAACAUUUUGGGAUAAAGUGCCAAGCCUAUGCUAUUUAAUAAGUAGCUUUGAUAUAAAGUCGUUAUGUGUUGACUACAGAGUUUAGAAUGAACUUAAGCAGACCUAAGUGUUUUUUCCAGAAGGUCUGAGAACCACUCUGUCUAUGAAUUGGUAUAUGGAUCAUUCUGUUUAUAAACCAGACAACUACGAAAGGUCAUUAAACACAAAUGGAUGGAAACUGUAUUGAAAAUUUAAAAGUUAUUAAAGGUACUAUGAAAAGGGUGGAUAUUUGAGGCUUCUGCUUGAGGACCAAGCAACCAAUAUUUACGUAUUUCUACACUCAUGCAUCAUUGUCAUGUGGUUUCAUUGGAUGAUUCAUGAGCAGAUCAGAAGUUGGAGAAAAGUUGAGAGUUUAACCCUUUGUUACACUCUGAUUUUGCUUUACCCUGUAGGAGAAAUUUUCCCAUAAGAAAACCAGUUUAGACAGGUUUUGCCUAUUGCUCUGCCCCCGAAAGUAUAGUAUAUAAUUCCCAUGCAAAAAAAUGCAUCUAAGAGAGAAACACCAGCUUGCUGACACCCUCAUAAUGGAGUAUGGCCAAGGCAAUUGUUGAUCUCUUACAGCUUUUUGAAGAGUUAGCUCAGCAGUUAAGCUCUGAAUAGGUCCACCCUUCUGUUAUUUAGCCAGCAAUCUGCUUCCUUCCAAUGAAUGGAAUAAAAGCCGAGAGGCAGAAUUUCAUCUCUGUUCAAAUUAGAAACCUGUCUCCUGUAAGCUGGGUCCCUUCCUUCUCCAUUAAAAUCUUCUACUACCAAGGAGAAAAAAAAGAUCUCAGAUAUGUAGCAUAACAAUCAUUCAAUCAACUAUAAACUUCACUUGGUGAUUUUUUUCUUUAAUUGAAUAGUAGGAAAGCCUAAAUGUGAAUGCUAUAUGCAAACCCAUUAUUCUUAGUACUGCUACCUAUAAUUAACACUGCCCAAUGGAAUUUUAAAAAUAUUUAUAAAAAAGGCAACAGAGUGACAAUUACCAUUAUCCCCAACUAAACUCCUCCUCCUCCAUGUUUUCAUCAAGAGAGCGGUGUUGUUACUUCAGUAGGCACAGUGUUGUGGUGACUUUUGUGAUACAAAUAAAGCAAGACUAAAAUUCUAAUUGUGAAAUUUAAAAGGAAAGUAAUUGCUUAGUGUUGGUUAAUUCCAUCUUUGUGUGAUGACAGCAGCUGCGUUUCCCUGCCUUGUGUAUUUUAACAGAUGGCAUUAUUUCUUAUGGAGUGUUACAGUGGCGACCGAGGUGACACUGAAGGAAAAUUCUGUGACAGUAUGUUAAGUAAGAUAUUACUGACAGCCCUGCUGAGCGGCGAUGCCGAACUGCACGUCGUGGAUCUCUUCUCACCCCUAUAGCCCCCACCAAAUGGUUUCCAUUUGCGGCAUGUGGAACCAGAGUGGAAAGAUGAAUGGAAAAUUAUGUUCUUUUUCAAAUUCACUUGUUUGCAUACCAUUAGUAGGCCUGAGAUGAAGGCUCAAAUUUGGCAAAAAGGUGCAUUUAUCAACCCAGUAUCAUACUGCUGUACCUUUCCAUAUGGUAGGUAAGAAAAUCAAGAGGUGCUGAUAGGCUUGAGCUCUAGACCAGAAUUUGCCACAAGUCACUUUUCUAUGGAUUGGAUUUCUUUGUAGAAAAGGCUGGAGCUGGACUAUAACAAAGUUUCUAGAGCCCUUUCUAGCUCUAACUUUCUAUGAUUCCGAAAGCCCUGAGCUUUGUGCUUUAAUAGCCCAGAAGACAAAGUGAGUAGAAUGCAGAAUAGAAACUUCUCUGUGUGCUACACAUAUUGAUGCAGCCUAGUAGGGAAAAGAUCAGUGGGUCACAAGUCAGGAGAUCUGGCCAUGGUUCAGCCUUGAAGCAAGUCAUUGACUCAAUCCAUGUCAGCUUCCUCACCUCCUUCACAAGGUUGUAUCCAAGCUCUAAUGGAAUUAUGCUACUGAAAGAUGAUUAAUUGCUCCAACAAAUAUUGCACAACUGCCCUAUGCUAGACACUAUGCCAAGUGCUGGGGAUUCAAUGGUGGGUAAAGCGUAGUCUUUGUUUUGGAGGAGGACAUCUAGUAGGGAAGAUAGAUAAGUGAAUGGGUAACUAUAGAGAAGUGUACCAGGGGCUUUGAUGGGCACAGGUACAGGGUGUGAUAAAAGUAUAGGGUGAUAUAAAAAGACAGGGUGAUAUAAAAGCAUAGAGGAGGAGCAGCUCACCCAGCUGGGCGCAUGGAAGGCUCCAGGAAGAAGUGGAUUCUAAGCUAGGGCAAAUAUAGGUGGAAGGGGGAGGGACAAAUGACAUGACCAGCAGCUUCUUGAACCAAGAUUUAGAAAUUGUUAUGGUUUCGUUUUCCUUCACCACCAAUCUGUGAAGAAGGAGACCAUCAGCAUCUUGGGUCUUGAUGAACAAGGAGUGCUCUUAUUUAAAUAUUCUUAUAAUAGUUAUAUCAUACUUCAUUUCUAAAACAAAUGGGUUUAAAAGCCUGAGAAAUGAUAUUUAAGAGAAUACCACCAUUGACUGUCACACUCUAAAGGUGAGCUUGAAAAAUUCUCUCUAGACCUUUCUAUUCACAAAUGCUUCUGUGAGGCCGCAAGAGUUUUAUGGUGUGCUUUGCAGAGAGGUACGGAUGGAUCACCUUUGGUAAAAGGAGAAAUGAUAGUGGCUUUAUACAUAAUAUGAACUUUUGGUUUUCUUUUUAUAAUCCUCUCUAAGACAAGGGCUACCAGCUUGCUGCUCAGUGAAUAAUAAAUCUGACUCAUCUGCUCUUCCUACAGGCUGACCCUCCUCUGCGCUAAUGUUUGACAUUUUUCAGUUUAAUUAAAAUCACCCUUUAAGUAGCACACCACCAAGAGAACGAUGGAAUUUCUUCCUGUAAUGUGAUGCUGAGUAAAGGACAACUCACCAAGUCCGCCAUUGUCUGUGCCACUUUCCACGGAGGAACCUGGGCAUCAGCUGGCGCCAAGACCUCAGAAUGGAAGAAAUUUGAUUUGUUCCUAAUUCAGAAAACUGUGGUGUUAUAUCUGUCCUGAAGAAGUGGAGAGAGAAGAAAGAGGAGGAAAUUGAACCAACAGUAAGAAAGAUGAAAAGGAAAGAGGAAAAUAGAAAUGGAGAUGAAUUUGAAGGAACAGCGAAAUUCCAUAGUGAUUGGAGAAAAGUCAAAAUGACACGGUGAUAUGAAGAUAGAAGAAAAACACAGUCUAAAUAAAAACCGGUAAUUCUGAAGCCAUUGUCCAUUUAUCCCAGCUUUAGAUACCUUGACUAGCUCACAAGUCUCUCCUUCUUCAUGAUUCUAUUAAUGCCUCAAGUUUCCUCCAGCCUUCUCUUUCCCUCACCUCCUGCUUCUGAUUGCUAUCGAUUCCUUUCUCCAUCAUGCAUCAGAGCCAGUACCCAAUAGGACUGAUUCGAUGUGGAAUCUGAGCAGGCGUGCUUCAAGUACUCCCCUAUAUAUGUCCCUUACUCUGGUCCCUCUCUCCCACCUUUGCCCCAGAUUUGUACUUACAGGAGCUCAUAGGCCAUUCUGCAAGCUGGCUUUGCUCCCUCACCCCUUUAUCGAAGGCACUACUGCCACACUGUUGGUUUCAAACGAUGCUUGGAAGCCAGUUCGCUGGAGUGUGCAGUAAGUUGAAUUGCUGCUGCUUCCUGCAGUUCGUGUGAUAGAUCGUACCAUAAAAUGGAUGUGAUGUGGUUAUUAGGCUGUGAUUCGCUUCAUACUGAGCUGUAUUGAUUGGUGUUGGUUCAGGGCUUGCCUCACAUUUUAUCAAUUGACCUUCCAGAUAGUAUCCUGCCUUUGAUUCUUUUACCUCUAAUUCUACUUUAUCUCCAGUUUUGUGGCUCCUAAUUUACUUUUGGUUGAUUUCUGCUGGUAUUUCUUUUAGUUUUCGAUUACCCAGAAAGACUUUUCUAAUGAAACCAUAUUUUCCCCUCACCACGCUUACUUACCU